UUAGCAAUAAAGCAAUAUUGAAGUUAAAAUCGUGAAGAUGAAAAAUGUGCCUAAUCAUUAGCUUCUUGAAAACAUUGUAACCGUGUUCUUGGGUAAUUAAUCAAUACAACAAUCUCCUGCUGACAAAAGAAAAAUAACCAUUACAUGAAACAAUCUCCUUCUGACAAAAGAAAAAAUAACCAUGAUAGAACAAGCUGAAAAUCUUAUAAAAGAAAAAAAUGCAAGUAACUGAGCUUUAUGUUUCUUUUCAAUGGAGCCAUUCCAUCCUACCUCACUCUCCAGCCAAACGUACUUAUCU
This 298-nucleotide long non-coding RNA is filed under the name Setaria viridis. RNAcentral describes it as "long non-coding RNA (SVIR_LNC003355)". Lineage: Eukaryota; Viridiplantae; Streptophyta; Magnoliopsida; Poales; Poaceae. The record is from RNAcentral.